AGGACGAACGCUGGCGGCGCGCCUCAUACAUGCAAGUCGAGCGAGAAAUCCGGGGCUUGCCCCGGGUGGAGAGCGGCGAACGGGUGAGGAACACGUGAGGAACCUGCCUCGAAGACCGGGAUAACACCGGGAAACCGGUGCUAAUACCGGAUGCCCUCACCGGAUCACAAGAUGCGGUGAGGAAAUGGAUUCCGCUUCGGGAUGGUCUCGCGGCCUAUCAGCUAGUUGGUGGGGUAACGGCCCACCAAGGCUUCGACGGGUAGCUGGUCUGAGAGGAUGUCCAGCCACACUGGGACUGAGACACGGCCCAGACUCCUACGGGAGGCAGCAGUAGGGAAUCUUGCGCAAUGGGCGAAAGCCUGACGCAGCGACGCCGCGUGCGGGAUGAAGGCCUUCGGGUGUAAACCGCUUUCAGCAGGGACGAAUUGACGGUACCUGCAGAAGAAGGCCCGGCCAACUACGUGCCAGCAGCCGCGGUAA
RNAcentral lists this ribosomal RNA (480 nucleotides) under uncultured bacterium. RNAcentral's name for it is "SSU rRNA". It matches the Rfam family "Bacterial small subunit ribosomal RNA", at positions 26 to 523 of the family's 1533-position model. The record is from RNAcentral.